RNAcentral lists this ribosomal RNA (497 nucleotides) under uncultured bacterium. Its description in RNAcentral is "partial 16S ribosomal RNA". It matches the Rfam family "Bacterial small subunit ribosomal RNA", at positions 28 to 507 of the family's 1533-position model. The record is from RNAcentral.
GAUGAACGCUGGCGGCGUGCCCAAUACAUGCAAGUCGAGCGAACAGAUAAGGAGCUUGCUCCUUUGACGUUAGCGGCGGACGGGUGAGUAACACGUGGGUAACCUACCUAUAAGACUGGGAUAACUUCGGGAAACCGGAGCUAAUACCGGAUAACAUUUGGAACCGCAUGGUUCUAAAGUGAAAGAUGGUUUUGCUAUCACUUAUAGAUGGACCCGCGCCGUAUUAGCUAGUUGGUAAGGUAACGGCUUACCAAGGCGACGAUACGUAGCCGACCUGAGAGGGUGAUCGGCCACACUGGAACUGAGGCACGGUCCAGACUCCUACGGGAGGCAGCAGUAGGGAAUCUUCCGCAAUGGGCGAAAGCCUGACGGAGCAACGCCGCGUGAGUGAUGAAGGGUUUCGGCUCGUAAAACUCUGUUAUUAGGGAAGAACAAAUGUGUAAGUAACUGUGCACGUCUUGACGGUACCUAAUCAGAAAGCCACGGCUAACUACGUG